AUUGCAAUGUGCAAUGUUCAUUUCACGUGAGCGGAUUGACUUUAAGUACCCUUUUCUAUGGCGUUGCAUAUACCUAACGAUGUACUAAUUGCUGUAUAAAUUCGCUUAAUAAGAAGCUUAAUUUAUUAAGAAACAGAAGGCGUGAAUUUAAAGAGUUAUCUAUUGCUUAUUACUACUCUUAAAAGAGAAAAAUAUUAGAAUUUUACAGAUUAUUGAUCGUUUUUGUAAUAAUAUAAAUAUAUU
Molecule: non-coding RNA, 243 nt
Organism: Schizosaccharomyces pombe (fission yeast)
Lineage: Eukaryota; Fungi; Ascomycota; Schizosaccharomycetes; Schizosaccharomycetales; Schizosaccharomycetaceae
Source: the annotation of a GenBank genome assembly